GACGAACGCUGGCGGCGUGCUUAACACAUGCAAGUCGAACGGAAAGGCCCUGCUUUUGUGGGGUGCUCGAGUGGCGAACGGGUGAGUAACACGUGAGUAACCUGCCCUUGACUUUGGGAUAACUUCAGGAAACUGGGGCUAAUACCGGAUAGGAGCUCCUGCUGCAUGGUGGGGGUUGGAAAGUUUCGGCGGUUGGGGAUGGACUCGCGGCUUAUCAGCUUGUUGGUGGGGUAGUGGCUUACCAAGGCUUUGACGGGUAGCCGGCCUGAGAGGGUGACCGGCCACAUUGGGACUGAGAUACGGCCCAGACUCCUACGGGAGGCAGCAGUGGGGAAUAUUGCACAAUGGGCGGAAGCCUGAUGCAGCAACGCCGCGUGCGGGAUGACGGCCUUCGGGUUGUAAACCGCUUUCGCCUGUGACGAAGCGUGAGUGACGGUAAUGGGUAAAGAGGCACCGGUUAACUACGUG
Molecule: ribosomal RNA, 468 nt
Filed under: uncultured bacterium
Lineage: Bacteria
Description: partial 16S ribosomal RNA
Rfam family: Bacterial small subunit ribosomal RNA
Source: RNAcentral